This 426-nucleotide ribosomal RNA is filed under the name uncultured bacterium. Its description in RNAcentral is "bacterial SSU rRNA". It matches the Rfam family "Bacterial small subunit ribosomal RNA", at positions 359 to 776 of the family's 1533-position model. The record is from RNAcentral.
GAAUUUUCGGCAAUGGACGAAAGUCUGACCGAGCAAUGCCGCGUGAACGAUGAAGGUCUUCGGAUCGUAAAGUUCUGUUGUUAGGGAAGAAUGGUAUAACUAGGAAAUGAGUUAUAAAGUGACGGUACCUAACUAGAAAGCACCGGCUAACUAUGUGCCAGCAGCCGCGGUAAUACAUAGGGGGCAAGCGUUAUACGGAAUUAUUGGGCGUAAAGCGUGCGUAGGCGGUUUAUUAAGUCUGAUGUGAAAUGUCACAGCUUAACUGUGAAGGGUCAUUGGAAACUGGUAAACUUGAGUACAGUAGGGGUAAGUGGAAUUCCAAGUGGAGCGGUGGAAUGCGUAGAGAUUUGGAGGAACACCAGUGGCGAAGGCGGCUUACUGGGCUGGAACUGACGCUGAUGCACGAGAGCGUGGGGAGCAAACAGG